UACGUAGGUGGCAAGCGUUGUCCGGAAUUAUUGGGCGUAAAGCGCGCGCAGGCGGUCCUUUAGGUCUGAUGUGAAAGCCCACGGCUCAACCGUGGAAGGUCAUUGGAAACUGGGGGACUUGAGUGCAGAAGAGGAAAGUGGAAUUCCAAGUGUAGCGGUGAAAUGCGUAGAGAUUUGGAGGAACAUCAGUGGCGAAGGCGACUUUCUGGUCUGUAACUGACGCUGAGGCGCGAAAGCGUGGGGAGCAAACAGG
This 253-nucleotide ribosomal RNA is filed under the name uncultured bacterium. Its description in RNAcentral is "partial 16S ribosomal RNA". It matches the Rfam family "Bacterial small subunit ribosomal RNA", at positions 524 to 776 of the family's 1533-position model. The record is from RNAcentral.